Molecule: non-coding RNA, 1560 nt
Organism: Arachis ipaensis
Lineage: Eukaryota; Viridiplantae; Streptophyta; Magnoliopsida; Fabales; Fabaceae
Source: RefSeq, a predicted model, not a curated record
GUUCAUUUUGUAAUCGGAAGGCCAUUUUUUACUCAUUCCUUUCUACGAAGCCUGUUAAGCCCGAUUUUUGGUUCUUUGCCUAUUUACUUGUAUUGCGCACGGCAUUCUGUUGUUCUGCCGUUGAUUUUCAGUUUUUUUUUUUAAAUUACAACAUAGUUAGUAAUAUCACAUGGUGCACGGAUGCUUGGAUUAAAGCGAAUCGUAUGAAAUUUGUUGCAGUUUGGUGAUUGAUUUAUUUGAUUUAUUUUGUAUAUCUAUGUGUGGUUCAUGUGAUUGACUUUGAACUCUAUACACUAUGGAUGUUAAAUUUUGUAAGAAAACAUCAUACCUAAAUGGAAAAGUAUUUUUCUAGUGGCUAACCUACAAAUGUAUUAAUAUGGGAGUCAUUACUAUGGCAGUUUAAUUGUUGAUGGCAACAUAUUUAUUUGUUAACCCUUCUAAAAAUAUAGGAGUCAUUACAUGGCAGCUUAUGGUUGAAUGUUUCCUGACAGACAAGAACCUGCUCUGAGUUUCAGUUACUGAAUAGCAUUUAAAUGGAGAAAAAGAAAUUAGUGGAGACGUGAUGUUCUCGAUGCUACAUCAACGGGAUGAUUAAUCACUUGCAAGAAAUUAAUGCCGAUGCGAAGCUAGCUGAGACUGACACUAUUGGGUUUGGCUUUGUAAAGAAGAUUUCUCACUGGGCAGUGAAGCAGAAGAUAAUAAUUCAACUGGCCAGGGUUUAUGAUGUGGAGACAGACACACUUAUAGUGGAUGUCAGGAAAAUCCGAGUUAAUACUGAGUUAAUAUGGAGGGCGUUAGGGAUACCCUCCAGUGGUGUUGACAUUCCAAAAAUAGAAAAAAAGAAUCCGGCUCACCGGGAAAUCAAAGAGUAAUUUAAAAAGAAGACAACCACUCAGCUGUGCGACUUCGUUUAUGCCUGCCCUAUGGACACAGAAGCGGAUAGGAUGAAUUUUAGAAGGUACUUCAUAUUGGUGGUCUUAAAGAUGUUCCUUUGUCCAACCAGCCAACAAACCAUUUCUCCAUGGCACAUACCUCCAAUUCUUGAUGUCUCAGAUCGCAGCAAAUUUAACUGGGCACAUAAGACAUUCAAGUGGCUGGGGAAAGCGAUUGAAACACACCAAAAUAAGAAGCUUGAAACUUGUGGCGGCUACAUGUUUGCCCUGAUGCUCUUGUACUUUCAGCGGCUAAGGCAUGAUUCACUAGAGCGUUGUCGAGAACCAAAGCCAUGGUUGACUGCAUGGACUGCAUCAGAACUUGAAAAAAAGGCAACCAAUGCCAUUGAUUAGGUACUAAGAUGGAUGAUAUGUUCUCUGUUAUAUUCUAAUCCAACUGAAACAGUCAGAAUUUUCUAUUCCGGGAUUUCGGAUGAUUGUUUCGUAACCUCAGUUGACCCUUUGAUGUUAGGGUCCCAUUGGAAAGAGGGCAAAAGUUCGUGAGGAGCCAAAUUUCGAACCAGGAAAAAGGGAGUAGAAUCCGCCUCUAAAAAAAAGAGCGGAAAGAGAGAAUGCAGGACUAGAGCAGUUCAGAAGGUAAUGUAUCUGUUGAAAUUCUCGCUGAAUG